UGGGGAAUAUUGGACAAUGGGCGCAAGCCUGAUCCAGCCAUGCCGCGUGGAUGAUGAAGGCCCUAGGGUUGUAAAGUCCUUUCGACGGGGAAGAUUAUGACGGUACCUGCAGAAGCAGCUGCGGUUAACUACGUGCCAGCAGCCGCGGUAAUACGUAGGCAGCAAGCGUUGUUCGGAGUUACUGGGCGUAAAGGGUGCGUAGGCGGUCUUUUAAGUUUGGUGUGAAAUCUCCCGGCUCAACCGGGAGGGUGCGCCGAAUACUGAGAGGCUAGAGUGUGGGGGAGGAAAGUGGAAUUCCUGGUGUAGCGGUGAAAUGCGUAGGUAUCAGGAGGAACACCGGUGGUGUAAACGGCCUUCUGGACCAUAACUGACGCUGAAGCACGAAAGCGUGGGUAGCAAACAGGAUUAGAUACCCUGGUAGUCCACGCCCUAAACGAUGCAUAUUUGGUGUGGGCCAUUCAUUUGGUCUGUGCCGGAGCUAACGCGUUAAAUAUGCCGCCUGGGGAGUACAGUCGCAAGGCUG
RNAcentral lists this ribosomal RNA (523 nucleotides) under uncultured bacterium. RNAcentral's name for it is "bacterial SSU rRNA". It matches the Rfam family "Bacterial small subunit ribosomal RNA", at positions 355 to 896 of the family's 1533-position model. The record is from RNAcentral.